RNAcentral lists this ribosomal RNA (490 nucleotides) under uncultured bacterium. RNAcentral describes it as "partial 16S ribosomal RNA". It matches the Rfam family "Bacterial small subunit ribosomal RNA", at positions 30 to 507 of the family's 1533-position model. The record is from RNAcentral.
AUUGAACGCUGGCGGCAGGCUUAACACAUGCAAGUCGAGCGGUAGCACAGGGGAGCUUGCUCCCUGGGUGACGAGCGGCGGACGGGUGAGUAAUGUCUGGGAAACUGCCUGAUGGAGGGGGAUAACUACUAGAAACGGUAGCUAAUACCGCAUAACGUCGCAAGACCAAAGAGGGGGACCUUCGGGCCUCUUGCCAUCAGAUGUGCCCAGAUGGGAUUAGCUAGUAGGUGGGGUAAUGGCUCACCUAGGCGACGAUCCCUAGCUGGUCUGAGAGGAUGACCAGGCAACACGGAAACUGAGCAACGUCCAGACUCCUACGGGAGGCAGCAGUGGGGAAUAUUGCACAAUGGGCGCAAGCCUGAUGCAGCCAUGCCGCGUGUGUGAAGAAGGCCUUCGGGUUGUAAAGCACUUUCAGCGAGGAGGAAGGUGGUGAGCUUAAUACGUUCAUCAAUUGACGUUACUCGCAGAAGAAGCACCGGCUAACUCCGUG